UUAGAAGCAGCCAUCAUUUAAAGAGUGCGUAAUAGCUCACUAGUCGAGUGACACUGCGCCGAAAAUGUACCGGGGCUAAACAUAUUACCGAAGCUGUGGAUUGUCCUUUGGACAAUGGUAGGAGAGCGUUCUAAGGGCGUUGAAGCAUGAUCGCAAGGACAUGUGGAGCGCUUAGAAGUGAGAAUGCCGGUGUGAGUAGCGAAAGACGGGUGAGAAUCCCGUCCACCGAUUGACUAAGGUUUCCAGAGGAAGGCUCGUCCGCUCUGGGUUAGUCGGGUCCUAAGCUGAGGCCGACAGGCGUAGGCGAUGGAUAACAGGUUGAUAUUCCUGUACCACCUAUAAUCGUUUUAAUCGAUGGGGGGACGCAGUAGGAUAGGCGAAGCGUACGAUUGGAUUGUACGUCUAAGCAGUGAGAUUGAGUGUUAGGCAAAUCCGGCACUCUUAAGAUUGAGCUGUGAUGGGGAGAGGAAAUUGUUUCCUCGAGUCGUUGAUUUCACACUGCCGAGAAAAGCCUCUAGAUAGAGAUUAGGUGCCCGUACCGCAAACCGACACAGGUAGUCAAGAUGAGAAUUCUAAGGUGAGCGAGCGAACUCUCGUUAAGGAACUCGGCAAAAUGACCCCGUAACUUCGGGAGAAGGGGUGCUCUUUAGGGUGCAAGCCCAGAAGAGCCGCAGUGAAUAGGCCCAAGCGACUGUUUAUCAAAAACACAGGUCUCUGCUAAACCGUAAGGUGAUGUAUAGGGGCUGACGCCUGCCCGGUGCUGGAAGGUUAAGAGGAGUGGUUAGCUUCUGCGAAGCUACGAAUCGAAGCCCCAGUAAACGGCGGCCGUAACUAUAACGGUCCUAAGGUAGCGAAAUUCCUUGUCGGGUAAGUUCCGACCCGCACGAAAGGCGUAACGAUUUGGGCACUGUCUCAACGAGAGACUCGGUGAAAUCAUAGUACCUGUGAAGAUGCAGGUUACCCGCGACAGGACGGAAAGACCCCGUGGAGCUUUACUGUAGCCUGAUAUUGAAAUUCGGCACAGCUUGUACAGGAUAGGUAGGAGCCUUUGAAACGUGAGCGCUAGCUUACGUGGAGGCGUUGGUGGGAUACUACCCUAGCUGUGUUGGCUUUCUAACCCGCACCACUUAUCGUGGUGGGAGACAGUGUCAGGCGGGCAGUUUGACUGGGGCGGUCGCCUCCUAAAAGGUAACGGAGGCGCUCAAAGGUUCCCUCAGAAUGGUUGGAAAUCAUUCAUAGAGUGUAAAGGCAUAAGGGAGCUUGACUGCGAGACCUACAAGUCGAGCAGGGUCGAAAGACGGACUUAGUGAUCCGGUGGUUCCGCAUGGAAGGGCCAUCGCUCAACGGAUAAAAGCUACCCCGGGGAUAACAGGCUUAUCUCCCCCAAGAGUUCACAUCGACGGGGAGGUUUGGCACCUCGAUGUCGGCUCAUCGCAUCCUGGGGCUGUAGUCGGUCCCAAGGGUUGGGCUGUUCGCCCAUUAAAGCGGUACGCGAGCUGGGUUCAGAACGUCGUGAGACAGUUCGGUCCCUAUCCGUCGUGGGCGUAGGAAAUUUGAGAGGAGCUGUCCUUAGUACGAGAGGACCGGGAUGGACAUACCUCUGGUGUACCAGUUGUCGUGCCAACGGCAUAGCUGGGUAGCUAUGUAUGGACGGGAUAAGUGCUGAAAGCAUCUAAGCAUGAAGCCCCCCUCAAGAUGAGAUUUCCCAACUUCGGUUAUAAGAUCCCUCAGAGAUGAUGAGGUUAAUAGGUUCGAGGUGGAAGCGUGGUGACACGUGGAGCUGACGAAUACUAAUCGAUCGAAGACUUAAUCAAUUU
This 1817-nucleotide ribosomal RNA is filed under the name Staphylococcus hominis subsp. hominis. RNAcentral's name for it is "bacterial LSU rRNA". It matches the Rfam family "Bacterial large subunit ribosomal RNA", at positions 1106 to 2925 of the family's 2925-position model. Lineage: Bacteria; Bacillati; Bacillota; Bacilli; Caryophanales; Staphylococcaceae. The record is from RNAcentral.